RNAcentral lists this ribosomal RNA (409 nucleotides) under bacterium. Its description in RNAcentral is "partial 16S ribosomal RNA". It matches the Rfam family "Bacterial small subunit ribosomal RNA", at positions 355 to 776 of the family's 1533-position model. The record is from RNAcentral.
UGGGGAAUAUUGCACAAUGGGCGAAAGCCUGAUGCAGCGACGCCGCGUGAGGGAUGACGGCCUUCGGGUUGUAAACCUCUUUCAGUAGGGACGAAGCGCAAGUGACGGUACCUGCAGAAGAAGCACCGGCUAACUACGUGCCAGCAGCCGCGGUAAUACGUAGGGUGCGAGCGUUGUCCGGAAUUACUGGGCGUAAAGAGCUCGUAGGCGGUUUGUCACGUCGUCUGUGAAAUCCUAGGGCUUAACCCUGGACGUGCAGGCGAUACGGGCUGACUUGAGUACUACAGGAGAGACUGGAAUUUCUGGUGUAGCGGUGGAAUGCACAGAUAUCAGGAAGAACGCCGAUGGCGAAGGCAGGUCUCUGGGUAGUAACUGACGCUGAGGAGCGAAAGCAUGGGUAGCGAACAGG